CNUGNGCGAGAGUAGUANUAGNAUGGGUGACCCCCUGGGAAGUCCUCGUGUUGCACCCCCUGCGCCCCUUCUUUUUGCAACUUUUCUGCCUUUUUGGGGGAAGGUGGCGAAAGGAAACGCGCGUACGAGAGAACGUGGCUCAGUAAGAGCGCACGCGCGACGUAAAACGACACGUGGGAAUAUAGGCACAAAAUCGGAUGAUCCUAACGGUUGGGAAUAUAGGAGUAAAAAGGGAGAACCGUA
Molecule: unclassified non-coding RNA, 243 nt
Filed under: Polyscias dioica
Lineage: Eukaryota; Viridiplantae; Streptophyta; Magnoliopsida; Apiales; Araliaceae
Source: RNAcentral